CCUACGGGGUGCAGCAGUGGGGAAUAUUGCACAAUGGGGGAAACCCUGAUGCAGCAACGCCGCGUGAAGGAAGACGGUUUUCGGAUUGUAAACUUCUGUUCUUAGUGAAGAAUAAUGACGGUAGCUAAGGAGCAAGCCACGGCUAACUACGUGCCAGCAGCCGCGGUAAUACGUAGGUGGCAAGCGUUGUCCGGAAUUACUGGGUGUAAAGGGAGCGCAGGCGGGAAGCCAAGUCAGCUGUGAAAACUACGGGCUUAACUUGUAGACUGCAGUUGAAACUGGUUUUCUUGAGUGAAGUAGAGGUAGGCGGAAUGCCGGGUGUAGCGGUGAAAUGCGUAGAUAUUCGGAGGAACACCGGUGGCGAAGGCGGCCAACUGGGCUUUAACUGACGCUGAGGCUCGAAAGUGUGGGGAGCGAACAGGAUUAGAUACCCGAGUAGUC
Molecule: ribosomal RNA, 441 nt
Filed under: uncultured bacterium
Lineage: Bacteria
Description: partial 16S ribosomal RNA
Rfam family: Bacterial small subunit ribosomal RNA
Source: RNAcentral